Molecule: ribosomal RNA, 444 nt
Filed under: Triticum aestivum (bread wheat)
Lineage: Eukaryota; Viridiplantae; Streptophyta; Magnoliopsida; Poales; Poaceae
Description: partial small subunit ribosomal RNA
Source: RNAcentral
AUGCUUGUUCAAGUAAGGGCAGUACCCAAGCACCGGUCCACCCACAUAUCUUUGAAGGGAGAUGCAUUGACAUGGUAUAGGCUAUGUGAUGAUACAGGAUCUUGGAAUUAUAAACGAUUGAAGUUGGAAUUUCACCAGAAGUUUUAUCCUAUGCAUCUUGUUCAUCGUGAUCGUAAUUACAUAUAUAAUUUCUGGCCUCACGAAGGAGAAAGCAUCGCUCAAGCUUGGGGGAGGCUUAAGUCAAUGUUAUAUUCAUGCCCCAAUCAUGAGCUCUCCAGAGAAAUGAUUAUGCAAAAAUUUUAUGCUCGGCUUUCUCUUAAUGAUCGCAACAUGCUCGAUACUUCCUGUGCUGGUUCUUAUAUGCUGAAGACUAUUGAAUUCAAAUGGGACUUACUGGAAAGAAUUAAAAUUGGGGUUCCGACGAUGGUAAGGAGCCAGGUAUGA